Molecule: long non-coding RNA, 775 nt
Filed under: Amborella trichopoda
Lineage: Eukaryota; Viridiplantae; Streptophyta; Magnoliopsida; Amborellales; Amborellaceae
Description: long non-coding RNA (ATRI_LNC005238)
Source: RNAcentral
CCAUAGGGACUGAAACUAUGUCUGGUUUUUACAACAUAUCAAAAACUUUUAAAGCAUCUUCUGUACACUACUAAAUUUUGCAUGCACAUCAAUCAAAAUAUUAGCCACAGAGGCUAUGAAAUUGCAGCCAAACUUAACCACAUGGGCAUGAACCCACUUCCUUUACCCUAGUGCCCUUAUACUUGCACACCCAUUAAAAAACACUCAAGUAAGUAAAAUGGGUAGGUUCAAACCAGCAAUUUGCAUCUCCAAAAAUUGUCUAAAGGUGAUCUAUUCAUCUCUAAAAAAAAACCAAACUGCAGCUUCUGAUUGAUUGAUUUGAGAAAAACGAAUAAUCAAAAUGGUCCCCAAGAGGCGUUUUAUCACAUGCUUUUUGGCAUCAGAAAAAGAUCCCAUUUGGCGUACAAUUUAGUUAAUCAAGAAAAUAUCAGAUUUUAACUUUGAAAUUCAGAAAGUAUGAGUGGAACAAUGUUCCUUUCUUCCAUUAACACAAUGGGGUGCAUCUCUUGAGAAAUUUGGAGUUGGUGUCAGCAUCAAUGGGCAUGUCUAUUAGGUCAAGAAUGUGGAGAUUUUGGGCUGAAGACUUGCUUUUAGAAGAAGGCGUUUGGGUUAAAAGUUCAAUUAUAGAGAGCUAAAGGUCACUAUGACUCUGUUUCAGAGGUGCCCAUGGUCUGAGAGAGAAGGAAGAGGUGGAGCUGCAGAAAAUUAGGGCUCUAAGGUUUGGUUUGUUAGAGCUCCAUUGGAGCCAUAUGGGGGUUUUGACGAAAGGUACGUU